CCCUUAGAUGUUCUGGGCCGCACGCGUGCUACACUGGUACAAUCACUAAGUUUCUGAGUAGUUAUGCUUGGGCAAUCUUGAAAACUGUACCGUGACGGGGCUUGACUGUUGAAAUUUUCUGUCACUAACGAGGAAUUCCUAGUAAAUGUGGGUCAUGAACUCACGUUGAUUACGUCCCUGCCCUUUGUACACACCGCCCGUCGCUCCUACCGAUUGGGUGUGCUGGUGAAAUGUUCGGAUCGGCCGUUUGUCGCGGUUUCCGCGUCAUGUGGCUGAGAAGUUCAUUAAACCCUCCCACCUAGAGGAAGGAGAAGUCGUAACA
RNAcentral lists this ribosomal RNA (322 nucleotides) under uncultured eukaryote. Its description in RNAcentral is "partial 18S ribosomal RNA". It matches the Rfam family "Eukaryotic small subunit ribosomal RNA", at positions 1470 to 1796 of the family's 1831-position model. The record is from RNAcentral.